This 522-nucleotide ribosomal RNA is filed under the name bacterium. Its description in RNAcentral is "bacterial SSU rRNA". It matches the Rfam family "Bacterial small subunit ribosomal RNA", at positions 83 to 597 of the family's 1533-position model. The record is from RNAcentral.
UGGGGUUGGCGAGUGGCGGACGGGUGAGGAAUACAUCGGAAUCUACUCUGUCGUGGGGGAUAACGUAGGGAAACUUACGCUAAUACCGCAUACGACCUACGGGUGAAAGCAGGGGACCUUCGGGCCUUGCGCGAUUGAAUGAGCCGAUGUCGGAUUAGCUAGUUGGCGGGGUAAAGGCCCACCAAGGCGACGAUCCGUAGCUGGUCUGAGAGGAUGAUCAGCCACACUGGAACUGAGACACGGUCCAGACUCCUACGGGAGGCAGCAGUGGGGAAUAUUGGACAAUGGGCGCAAGCCUGAUCCAGCCAUACCGCGUGGGUGAAGAAGGCCUUCGGGUUGUAAAGCCCUUUUGUUUGGGAAAGAAAUCCAGCUGGCUAAUACCCGGUUGGGAUGACGGUACCCAAAGAAUAAGCACCGGCUAAACUUCGUGCCAGCAGCCGCGGUAAUACGAAGGGUGCAAGCGUUUACUCGGAAUUACUGGGCGUAAAGCGUGCGUAGGUGGUCGUUUUAAGUCCGUUUGUG